RNAcentral lists this ribosomal RNA (465 nucleotides) under Vreelandella stevensii. RNAcentral's name for it is "partial 16S ribosomal RNA". It matches the Rfam family "Bacterial small subunit ribosomal RNA", at positions 338 to 795 of the family's 1533-position model. The record is from RNAcentral. Lineage: Bacteria; Pseudomonadati; Pseudomonadota; Gammaproteobacteria; Oceanospirillales; Halomonadaceae.
CCUACGUGAGGCUGCAGUGGGGAAUAUUGGACAAUGGGGGGAACCCUGAUCCAGCCAUGCCGCGUGUGUGAAGAAGGCCCUCGGGUUGUAAAGCACUUUCAGUGAGGAAGAACGCCUGGUGGUUAAUACCCAUCAGGAAAGACAUCACUCACAGAAGAAGCACCGGCUAACUCCGUGCCAGCAGCCGCGGUAAUACGGAGGGUGCGAGCGUUAAUCGGAAUUACUGGGCGUAAAGCGCGCGUAGGUGGCUUGAUAAGCCGGUUGUGAAAGCCCCGGGCUCAACCUGGGAACGGCAUCCGGAACUGUCAAGCUAGAGUGCAGGAGAGGAAGGUAGAAUUCCCGGUGUAGCGGUGAAAUGCGUAGAGAUCGGGAGGAAUACCAGUGGCGAAGGCGGCCUUCUGGACUGACACUGACACUGAGGUGCGAAAGCGUGGGUAGCAAACAGGAUUAGAUACCCUGGUAGUC